AGCAAAUAGCGAGGGGAAAAUAUUCGGUCAGUAAGAACUACAAUUUGUGGUCCAUGAUGUUAAUAAUUAAAUAAGCAGAAAAUUUAGAAGUUAGUUGUCCAAUCAAAAUUUCUCUCUUUCAAAAUAGCAUAAAACGCUGAGCUAAAAUGAAAAUAAAACUCUCUACGCUCCUAAUAGGGUUACUCAUUGCUUCAACCCAUCAGUGAAAUAGAACUCAAAGAAUCUGUGGGGAAGGAACCAUUUUUUUGAACCAUCGAAGAUAUCUUGUUGUUAUAGUGAAUUCAGAAAUUGAAGACUCAAUUGAUUCGUCCAAUACACAUAACAUCGAGGUAUAGGUGUUUCACAUCUGAAAAAGGUACCAAUUUAUAUUUUUGGUUCAUCAUAUGCUUUUUCAGACGGAGACAAAAGAGAAGGGGCUCGUGCUAUAAAGAAUUCGUCUUCAGAGGAAGUAGACAUUUACUAUUCUGCUUGGCCCGAAGCCUAACUAGUGUUUUCAAGACUCGCUUCAAAGAAAGGGGGAUUGAUCCAUCAAUUAAAAGGGCAGCCUAGGAGUUCCUGUUGGAUUGUUUUGAUCCUGAAAGUACACUUGAGAAAAGAAAUCAGCUUAGACGACAACAAAGGGCUGGGCUGAACAAAAUGCUAGCAGCAGAGUAUCUUAGAUCUGUGGAUUUAUCAUAAUACAUUUAGGAAUAAAGUACUCCAUGUGACUAGAGAACAAGAACCAGUGAAAGUAUCAGGGCAGCCCGGUGCACUUAAGCUCCCACUAUGCGCAGGGUCCGGGGAAGGGCCCGACCACAAGGGUCUAUUGUACGCAGUCUUACCUUGCAUUUCUGCCAGAAGCUGUUUCCAAGGCUUGAAUCCGUGACCUCCUGGUCACAUGGCAGCAACUUUACCAGUUACUCCAAGGCUCCUCUUAUGAUUGUUGUGCAUAUGUGCAGUCAUAGAUUAUUCCGGAGGUGGAGACAAGCGAGUAACUUUUUCUGAUGAUCAAGAAUUCAAAGUCACGAAGGACCUUCAAGUAUGGAUCGAAUUGAAUUAAAAUAGUUGAAGAUGUUAGCAGAUGAACACGUUGAAGCGCAAGAAGUUAAUUGUUAAACCUACUUUUCUUAUUAUCUAGGCUAUUUGCUUAAAAAUAUUAAUUACUAUAUAUAUAUUCUAGUCUCUUAUUUUUCUUAUUGUACGAUUUUUAAAACCUCUUUGUUUUUUGUAAUGAACUACGUACAAUGCUUAUAUUAUCAGCAAUUUAUAGUAUUGACUCUAUUUUAUGAGUUUAAAA
Molecule: long non-coding RNA, 1276 nt
Organism: Solanum dulcamara
Lineage: Eukaryota; Viridiplantae; Streptophyta; Magnoliopsida; Solanales; Solanaceae
Exons: 7
Source: RefSeq, a predicted model, not a curated record